Molecule: ribosomal RNA, 494 nt
Filed under: uncultured bacterium
Lineage: Bacteria
Description: bacterial SSU rRNA
Rfam family: Bacterial small subunit ribosomal RNA
Source: RNAcentral
AAAUGAAUAGACGGGGACCCGCACAAGCGGUGGAGCAUGUGGUUUAAUUCGAAGCAACGCGAAGAACCUUACCAGGCCUUGACAUCCGGAUGGCCGUCCCGUAACGGGGGCUUUUCUUCGGAACAUCCGAGACAGGUGGUGCAUGGUUGUCGUCAGCUCGUGUCGUGAGAUGUUGGGUUAAGUCCCGCAACGAGCGCAACCCUUGUCUUCAGUAGCCAGCAUUUAGGAUGGGAACUCUGGAGAGACUGCCGGGGAUAACCCGGAGGAAGGCGGGGAUGACGUCAAAUCAUCAUGCCCCUUAUGGCCUGGGCUACACACGUGCUACAAUGGCAGCAACAAAGGGAAGCAGCCCUGUGAAGGUGAGCGAACCCCAAAAAAGCUGUCCCAGUUCGGAUUGUAGUCUGCAACCCGACUACAUGAAGCUGGAAUCGCUAGUAAUCGCAGAUCAGAAUGCUGCGGUGAAUACGUUCCCGGGUCUUGUACACACCGCCCGU